CUAUACUACUUUAUUAUAGCAGCUGGAACUAAGACACUUGUUUAUCCUUCAUCUGUAGGAAAAUGCUAAAUCAGAUAAUGGCAACCACUGUGAACUAUAUUAUCUCUAGGGUAUUAUGGGGUCUCCAUGGCAGAUCAGUGUGGAAAUGGAUGUGGACGCGGUGCUGCUGCCUGAGAUUAGCAGGAAGCAAUUCUUUUCCCAUUUGGAGAGACCCCAGUGAGACCUGAUCAACUAGCAACAUGCGGAAGUCACACCAUUAAGUCUUCCAAUUUGCUAGCAGCAAAUCAAUGAACUCUGAUAGCUGCUGCCCUAAGCUAGCAUCCAGGGAACUGUGGACAAG
Molecule: long non-coding RNA, 340 nt
Filed under: Pan troglodytes (chimpanzee)
Lineage: Eukaryota; Metazoa; Chordata; Mammalia; Primates; Hominidae
Description: long non-coding RNA NONPTRT013090
Source: RNAcentral